UACGAAGGGGGCUAGCGUUGCUCGGAAUCACUGGGCGUAAAGGGCGCGUAGGCGGCGGGGUAAGUCGGGUGUGAAAUCUCAGGGCUCAACCCUGAAACUGCACUUGAUACUGCUCUGCUUGAGGACUGGAGAGGAGACUGGAAUUCACGGUGUAGCAGUGAAAUGCGUAGAUAUCGUGAGGAAGACCAGUGGCGAAGGCGGGUCUCUGGACAGUUCCUGACGCUGAGGCGCGAAGGCCAGGGGAGCAAACGGG
RNAcentral lists this ribosomal RNA (253 nucleotides) under uncultured bacterium. RNAcentral describes it as "partial 16S ribosomal RNA". It matches the Rfam family "Bacterial small subunit ribosomal RNA", at positions 524 to 776 of the family's 1533-position model. The record is from RNAcentral.